RNAcentral lists this long non-coding RNA (466 nucleotides) under Brassica napus (rape). Its description in RNAcentral is "long non-coding RNA (BNAP_LNC011342)". The record is from RNAcentral. Lineage: Eukaryota; Viridiplantae; Streptophyta; Magnoliopsida; Brassicales; Brassicaceae.
UUACAGACAAUUUAAAAUUACAACAAAAAAAUAGCCAAGGUUUGGAAUUCAAUCAUUUUUUUAAAAUAAAAAGUAAAAUAAACCCAAUAAUUUUAACUCCUCUACCUACACAACACCAACAAAUAAAGAAAGUAGAAUAGUUCACCACCACACCUCAAUCAUAUCACAAUAGAAAUCUUGGAAAAUUAAUAACCACAUCAAAACACUAACUACACAAAUACAGCAUCACAAACACACACAGAGAUAGAGCAACAAUUACAUCCACGACCGAGCAACGACUACGUCCACCACUCCGCGCUUUUGCGGAGCUCCACCCCUAGUCUCUCAAAGGAAAUAGUACUAAUAACUAGCCAGAGUUCUAAUUUUUUAAUAAAGUCUAAAACAUAGCUCUAUUUUCAUCUUGCGAAACAAUAAACCUUACUUUUUGACCUGAUUCAAAUUCAACCGAUAGAUUUACCCCUUACUC